This 504-nucleotide ribosomal RNA is filed under the name uncultured Glomeromycotina. RNAcentral describes it as "SSU rRNA". It matches the Rfam family "Eukaryotic small subunit ribosomal RNA", at positions 569 to 1077 of the family's 1831-position model. The record is from RNAcentral. Lineage: Eukaryota; Fungi; Glomeromycota.
AGCAGCCGCGGUAAUUCCAGCUCCAAUAGCGUAUAUUAAAGUUGUUGCAGUUAAAAAGCUCGUAGUUGAAUUUCAGGCCUGGCUGGACGGUCCGCCCUUCGGGUGAGUACUGUCUGUGGUCGGGUCCUACCUUCUGGCGAAGCGUCAUGGCCUUAACCGGCCGUGGCGGGGAACCAGGACUUUUACUGUGAAAAAAUUAGAGUGUUCAAAGCAGGCAAUCGCUUGGAUACAUUAGCAUGGAAUAAUGGAAUAGGACAAUGGUUCUAUUUGUUGGUUUCUAGGACCGUUGUAAUGAUUAAUAGGGAUAGUUGGGGGCAUUAGUAUUCAAUUGUCGGAGGUGAAAUUCUUGGAUUUAUUGAAGACUAACUACUGCGAAAGCAUUUGCCAAGGAUGUUUUCAUUAAUCAAGAACGAAAGUUAGGGGAUCGAAGACGAUCAGAUACCGUCGUAGUCUUAACCAUAAACUAUGCCGACUAGGAAUCGGGCGAUGUUGAAAAAAUGACGC